Molecule: non-coding RNA, 31 nt
Filed under: Rattus norvegicus (Norway rat)
Lineage: Eukaryota; Metazoa; Chordata; Mammalia; Rodentia; Muridae
Source: RNAcentral
UAGUCAGACUGCCUUUGCCUUGUUUGGCCUC